CCUACGGGAGGCAGCAGUGGGGAAUAUUGGGCAAUGGGCGCAAGCCUGACCCAGCAACGCCGCGUGAAGGAAGAAGGCUUUCGGGUUGUAAACUUCUUUUAAGAGGGAAGAGUAGAAGACGGUACCUGACGAAUAAGCCACGGCUAACUACGUGCCAGCAGCCGCGGUAAUACGUAGGUGGCAAGCGUUGUCCGGAUUUACUGGGUGUAAAGGGCGUGUAGCCGGGUUGACAAGUCAGAUGUGAAAUCCUGCGGCUUAACCGCAGAACUGCAUUUGAAACUGUUGAUCUUGAGUACUGGAGAGGCAGACGGAAUUCCUAGUGUAGCGGUGAAAUGCGUAGAUAUUAGGAGGAACACCAGUGGCGAAGGCGGUCUGCUGGACAGCAACUGACGGUGAGGCGCGAAAGCGUGGGGAGCAAACAGGAUUAGAUACCCCGGUAGUC
This 442-nucleotide ribosomal RNA is filed under the name uncultured bacterium. Its description in RNAcentral is "partial 16S ribosomal RNA". It matches the Rfam family "Bacterial small subunit ribosomal RNA", at positions 338 to 795 of the family's 1533-position model. The record is from RNAcentral.